This 459-nucleotide ribosomal RNA is filed under the name uncultured bacterium. RNAcentral's name for it is "partial 16S ribosomal RNA". It matches the Rfam family "Bacterial small subunit ribosomal RNA", at positions 338 to 795 of the family's 1533-position model. The record is from RNAcentral.
CCUACGGGCGGCAGCAGUGAGGAAUAUUGGUCAAUGGGCGAGAGCCUGAACCAGCCAAGUCGCGUGAAGGAUGAAGGAUCUAUGGUUUGUAAACUUCUUUUAUAUGGGAAUAAAGUGAGGAACGUGUUCCUUUUUGUAUGUACCAUAUGAAUAAGCAUCGGCUAACUCCGUGCCAGCAGCCGCGGUAAUACGGAGGAUGCGAGCGUUAUCCGGAUUUAUUGGGUUUAAAGGGUGCGCAGGCGGAGGUGCAAGUCAGCGGUCAAAUGGCGGGGCUCAACCCCGUACUGCCGUUGAAACUGCAUCGCUUGAGUGCGCGAGAAGUAUGCGGAAUGCGUGGUGUAGCGGUGAAAGGCAUAGAUAUCACGCAGAACUCCGAGUGCGAAGGCAGCUUACCGGCGCGCAACUGACGCUGAUGCACGAAAGCGUGGGUAUCGAACAGGAUUAGAUACCCUAGUAGUC